Molecule: transfer RNA, 75 nt
Filed under: Aphanothece cf. minutissima CCALA 015
Lineage: Bacteria; Bacillati; Cyanobacteriota; Cyanophyceae; Chroococcales; Aphanothecaceae
Also listed under: 1 other name
Description: tRNA-Val
Rfam family: tRNA
About the family: Transfer RNA (tRNA) molecules are approximately 80 nucleotides in length.
Source: RNAcentral
GCCCGAUUAGCUCAGCGGUAGAGCGCCUGCCUUACAAGCAGGAUGUCGCUGGUUCGAAACCGGCAUCGGGCAUCA